RNAcentral lists this long non-coding RNA (2073 nucleotides) under Olea europaea subsp. europaea. Lineage: Eukaryota; Viridiplantae; Streptophyta; Magnoliopsida; Lamiales; Oleaceae. The record is from RNAcentral.
UGAUAAAUUCGAAAAUUGUUUUAAGAAGAACAAAGGUUGGAAAGCAAGAAUUGCCUCUCAAAUUAAUUCUCUCAAUAAUAAUGUCAAAUGGUGUUCUUACAAUCAAUAUGAUAAAGUAUUUAUAACAACCCCAAAAGUAUUGUCUUGGACGAAAAUUAUGCUCCAAAUACUGAAAAAAAAAAUACUAAUUAGAAUCAAAUUUUAUGGAAAGUAGAAAAGUUACCAAAAAUUGAAAACGUGUCCCAAAUUUUGUACUACGCAACCGCAUAGUGUAUUGGCAUGUGGUAGCAUAGUUCAAUUGAACUGCCACCGCCAAAUCCCUACCUCUAUACAUUCAACUGUAUGACUUGAAGUCGUAUAGUUCUUCCCAAGAGCAUUUCCUUCGUCUGCUUGUAAUGUAUUGAUCCAAUGGACUUCGGCUCUUGACCGCAACAUGAAAGUUGCCUCAUUUUGUGCCACAAUCAUCGCCUCAUCAAUUGUUGAUUGAACUAGUAACCUCAUAGCUUGAUUGACUCACUUUGCCCUCAAUCAUGUCAUCGGUCCACCUUUGAUAAUCAAUGGAUCUUAUCCUAGGAUCGUCUUUGUUGAGCUCGGCUCUUGGAUCACAUCAUAUAUACUUUUACCAAAGCCCUCCUCCCUACUGCAUCAGUCCCCAUGCACUUUGGCAGAAAUUGGGCAUAUUAACUUAAAUUACCACCAGAAACAGGCACAUCAAUAUCCAAAUUUAUAUCAUUCUCCAGUACUACUUGGGUUUCCAUAAGUAAGCUAUAUUCAUUAACCAGUAAUUUAUCUUCAGCAUACUCAUCGUACACAGCCUCCACUGACUAGGUUUCGACAACUUCCAUAUCACCAUCUAAUACAUGAACCUGCCCUCGUGAACCAUUUUUACCGUUCUAAAUCCUCAAUAUCAAAAACAGCCAUUUCACCUCCAUUUUCCAUUUUACCUUUCACCAUUGGAAUUUCCAUAUACACCGCUUCAUCUCUGUCCGCAACAGAACAUUUGUAAUGAUUGAACUGAUCUUUGGAGACUAAUUUAGCCCCAGUCAUUUUGGUCAACAUUGAAAUCAUCACUUUAUUUGUUCUGUUCAUUUCUCCCAUCAAUUGCUCCAUCCUGUCUUGCUUAGCACAGACCCCUUUCAACAUUUGAUCCUAUGUAUUUACAGUCACAUUAAGAAAUCCAAGUUACUUUUCAAACCUUUUAAAUUGUUCUACUUGAUUUUUGCCAUGAGUUCCCAUUCUCUUCCCAGCUCACCUACUGCUCUAAUACCAAAUUGUUGUGGCUGAACUUCAACUCUAAACCUGGGGCACAAUCAAACACAAUAAUAAACCAGAAAUUGAAUAAACUUAACACCCAAUUGAUUUACUUGUAACAAAGUGUUGAGUACAGUCAGAAUUUAAUAGAAAAUAAGAAAGUGGACUUGAAGAAGAAGAAGAUAAGAUCAGAGAGGAAAUUAAAAUCACGCACAGAAAUUCUAGCAACAAUAACACAGAUAUUGAAAGGGAAAUUCAAACCACAGUAUAUUAAUUGCAAUAACCAAGUAGAUUACAACACCUAGAAGAAAUUAAAGAGAUAAGAAACAGAUAAGAGAAGGAAGAGUCUAGAUAAAGAGAGAGAGAGUGAGAGAGUUCAGAGAAAGGGGUUUUCUUCACAAUAAUCGUUCACUACCCUCUCCCAAUUCCAUCUCUAGGUUAUAAUAGAAAACAAAAAGGUAAAAGAAAGACAAAAUAAGAAACUUGUUUAAAUUUUACAAUAAAUUAAAAUGACACUGUUUCUAAAUUUGAAUUUUAGGGAAAACCGUUGGCUGCAUUUCCUUCUUCUUCUUCUUCUUGUUUUGCUCUGAUCUUCCUCUUCUCUUUCUUUUUCCCCAUUCCAGCUGACCUCCUUGCUUCUUUUCAUAACACUGAACUGAUUAGAGAAUUUCAAUUUGGGGAAUUUGAAAGAUGAAAAAAUGUAAACAAAAAAGGGGAUCCUUUUAUAUGGGAAGGGAUGCAGGGAGAUGCAGAAAUGGCAGGGAAGAGGUGAUUUGACGAAAGGAAAAAAGAAGAAAAAAAGGGUAUAAAAAGUGAUGGACA